This 254-nucleotide ribosomal RNA is filed under the name uncultured bacterium. RNAcentral describes it as "partial 16S ribosomal RNA". It matches the Rfam family "Bacterial small subunit ribosomal RNA", at positions 524 to 776 of the family's 1533-position model. The record is from RNAcentral.
UACGGAAGAUCCAAGCGUUAUCCGGAAUUACUGGGCGUAAAGAGUUGCGUAGGUGGCAAAGUAAGCGGUGCAUGAAAUCUUGUGGCUCAACCAUAAGACUAUGCUCUGAACUGCUUAGCUUGAGUGCGGGAGAGGUACCUGGAAUUCCUAGUGUAGGAGUGAAAUCCGUAGAUAUUAGGAGGAACACCGAUGGCGUAGGCAGGGUACUGGCCCGUUACUGACACUAAGGCACGAAAGCGUGGGGAGCGAACGGG